RNAcentral lists this ribosomal RNA (461 nucleotides) under uncultured bacterium. Its description in RNAcentral is "bacterial SSU rRNA". It matches the Rfam family "Bacterial small subunit ribosomal RNA", at positions 917 to 1382 of the family's 1533-position model. The record is from RNAcentral.
GGACCCGCACAAGCGGUGGAUGAUGUGGUUUAAUUCGAUGCAACGCGAAAAACCUUACCUACCCUUGACAUGGCAGGAAUCUCGCAGAGAUGUGAGAGUGCUCGAAAGAGAACCUGCACACAGGUGCUGCAUGGCCGUCGUCAGCUCGUGUCGUGAGAUGUUGGGUUAAGUCCCGCAACGAGCGCAACCCUUGUCAUUAGUUGCUACGAAAGGGCACUCUAAUGAGACUGCCGGUGACAAACCGGAGGAAGGUGGGGAUGACGUCAGGUCCUCAUGGCCCUUAUGGGUAGGGCUACACACGUCAUACAAUGGCCGGUACAGAGGGCUGCCAACCCGCGAGGGGGAGCCAAUCCCAGAAAACCGGUCGUAGUCCGGAUCGCAGUCUGCAACUCGACUGCGUGAAGUCGGAAUCGCUAGUAAUCGCGGAUCAGCUUGCCGCGGUGAAUACGUUCCCGGGUCUU